This 210-nucleotide long non-coding RNA is filed under the name Ananas comosus (pineapple). RNAcentral's name for it is "long non-coding RNA (ACOM_LNC043600)". The record is from RNAcentral. Lineage: Eukaryota; Viridiplantae; Streptophyta; Magnoliopsida; Poales; Bromeliaceae.
AUAUCAUAGCUCAGUCGGCGUCGAUGGAAGUGCGGCUGCAGUAAGAGAGUAGAGCAUGGCAUAGAUAUUGGGGCGGUGGAGGAGAAGGAGAAUGGGGAGGAAGCAAGAAGGAGAAGGAAAGAAAAAAACGACAAGUAGAAGGAAGACUAACCGAGAGCAAAGAAAAAUUACUGAGAGAGAAAAAGGAAUAAAGAUAUUUUGUCUAGUUUU